UUGAAGAGUUUGAUCAUGGCUCAGAUUGAACGCUGGCGGCAGGCCUAACACAUGCAAGUCGAACGGUAACAGGAAGAAGCUUGCUUCUUUGCUGACGAGUGGCGGACGGGUGAGUAAUGUCUGGGAAACUGCCUGAUGGAGGGGGAUAACUACUGGAAACGGUAGCUAAUACCGCAUAACGUCGCAAGACCAAAGAGGGGGACCUUCGGGCCUCUUGCCAUCGGAUGUGCCCAGAUGGGAUUAGCUAGUAGGUGGGGUAACGGCUCACCUAGGCGACGAUCCCUAGCUGGUCUGAGAGGAUGACCAGCCACACUGGAACUGAGACACGGUCCAGACUCCUACGGGAGGCAGCAGUGGGGAAUAUUGCACAAUGGGCGCAAGCCUGAUGCAGCCAUGCCGCGUGUAUGAAGAAGGCCUUCGGGUUGUAAAGUACUUUCAGCGGGGAGGAAGGGAGUAAAGUUAAUACCUUUGCUCAUUGACGUUACCCGCAGAAGAAGCACCGGCUAACUCCGUGCCAGCAGCCGCGGUAAUACGGAGGUGCAAGCGUUAAUCGGAAUUACUGGGCGUAAAGCGCACGCAGGCGGUUUGUUAAGUCAGAUGUGAAAUCCCGGGCUCAACCUGGGAACUGCAUCUGAUACUGGCAAGCUUGAGUCUCGUAGAGGGGGGUAGAAUUCCAGGUGUAGCGGUGAAAUGCGUAGAGAUCUGGAGGAAUACCGGUGGCGAAGGCGGCCCCCUGGACGAAGACUGACGCUCAGGUGCGAAAGCGUGGGGAGCAAACAGGAUUAGAUACCCUGGUAGUCCACGCCGUAAACGAUGUCGACUUGGAGGUUGUGCCCUUGAGGCGUGGCUUCCGGAGCUAACGCGUUAAGUCGACCGCCGGGAGUACGGCCGCAAGGUUAAAACUCAAAUGAAUUGACGGGGCCCGCACAAGCGGUGGAGCAUGUGGUUUAAUUCGAUGCAACGCGAAGAACCUUACGGUCUUGACAUCCACGGAAGUUUUCAGAGAUGAGAAUGUGCCUUCGGGAACCGUGAGACAGGUGCUGCAUGGCUGUCGUCAGCUCGUGUUGUGAAAUGUUGGGUUAAGUCCCGCAACGAGCGCAACCCUUAUCCUUUGUUGCCAGCGGUCCGGCCGGGAACUCAAAGGAGACUGCCAGUGAUAAACUGGAGGAAGGUGGGGAUGACGUCAAGUCAUCAUGGCCCUUACGACCAGGGCUACACACGUGCUACAAUGGCGCAUACAAAGAGAAGCGACCUCGCGAGAGCAAGCGGACCUCAUAAAGUGCGUCGUAGUCCGGAUUGGAGUCUGCAACUCGACUCCAUGAAGUCGGAAUCGCUAGUAAUCGUGGAUCAGAAUGCCACGGUGAAUACGUUCCCGGGCCUUGUACACACCGCCCGUCACACCAUGGGAGUGGGUUGCAAAAGAAGUAGGUAGCUUAACCUUCGGGAGGGCGCUUACCACUUUGUGAUUCAUGACUGGGGUGAAGUCGUAACAAGGUAACCGUAGGGGAACCUGCGGUUGGAUCACCUCCUU
RNAcentral lists this ribosomal RNA (1531 nucleotides) under Escherichia coli. RNAcentral's name for it is "bacterial SSU rRNA". It matches the Rfam family "Bacterial small subunit ribosomal RNA". Lineage: Bacteria; Pseudomonadati; Pseudomonadota; Gammaproteobacteria; Enterobacterales; Enterobacteriaceae. The record is from RNAcentral.